Molecule: unclassified non-coding RNA, 236 nt
Filed under: uncultured fungus
Lineage: Eukaryota; Fungi
Description: sequence contains ITS1, 5.8S rRNA gene
Rfam family: 5.8S ribosomal RNA (bases 188-236)
Source: RNAcentral
UCUCCGUUGGUGAACCAGCGGAGGGAUCAUUAUAGAGUUAUAAAACUCCCAACCCAUGUGAACUUACCACUGUUGCCUCGGCGGGUAGUUACCUUGUAGCACUUGCCUACCCUGUAACCGCCCGCCGGUGGAUUUUUAAACUAUUGUUAUUUCGUGUCAUCUGAGCGUCUUAUUUUAAAUAAGUCAAAACUUUCAACAACGGAUCUCUUGGUUCUGGCAUCGAUGAAGAACGCAGC